RNAcentral lists this ribosomal RNA (755 nucleotides) under Glomeromycotina sp. OTU31 DJMC-2012. RNAcentral's name for it is "eukaryotic LSU rRNA". It matches the Rfam family "Eukaryotic large subunit ribosomal RNA", at positions 50 to 656 of the family's 3401-position model. The record is from RNAcentral. Lineage: Eukaryota; Fungi; Glomeromycota.
GCGGAGGAAAAGAAACUAACAAGGAUUCCCCUAGUAACGGCGAGUGAAGAGGGAAGAGCUCAANUUUUAANUCUGCCUUGUUCCAAGGUCGAGUUGUAAUUUGAAGAAGCGUUUUCUUGGGCUCGCGGCCGGUAGAAGUUCUUUGGAACAGGACAUCAUAGAGGGUGACAAUCCCGUCCGUGACCGGUCGUGCGUUCAUCUACGAUACGCUUUCAAAGAGUCGAGUUGUUUGGGAUUGCAGCUCCAAACGGGUGGUAAACAUCACCUAAGGCUAAAUAUUGGCGAGAGACCGAUAGCGAACAAGUACCGUGAGGGAAAGAUGAAAAGAACUUUGAAAAGAGAGUUAAACAGUACGUGAAAUUGUUGAAAGGGAAACGAUUGAAGUCAGUCGUGCUGGCGCGAAAUCAACCCUCUCGUCUUGAGAUCACAUGGCGCGACGAGCCUCAAAACCGUCACGAAGCGUGAACUCUUGACGAAAAGGUGCACUUUCGUGUCCGCUGGUUAACAUCAAUUUCGAACGUCAUAAAAAGGCUGGAGGGAUGUGGCUCCUUCGGGAGUGUUAUAACCUUUAGCGGAAUGUGGCGUUCGGGAUUGAGGAUUGCAACGAAUACCUUCAGGGCUGUUCCACCUGGCUUCUCAUUGGUAUCCUGGUGACGACAGCUUGCUGACGUCGUUAGGAUCAGCUUCUGAACAGGCUAGAGUGUGAGCAAAUUCGUUAAGGAUGUUAACGUAAUGGCUUUAAACGACCCGUCUUG